This is a non-coding RNA of Odocoileus virginianus texanus, 373 nucleotides long. Lineage: Eukaryota; Metazoa; Chordata; Mammalia; Artiodactyla; Cervidae. The record is from RefSeq and is a predicted model, not a curated record.
UGCCUCCUUUAAUCCUGUCCAUGGGCAGCUAUAUGAUGAUGAUGUGAUAUCUGGUGCUGCAACAGCCAUCUUGCAACCAUGAGGCAACAAGCUUGACUACAACAGCAGAGAUAGUGAACACACUGAGGUGAAAGAAUACAAGAUCUAAGGUUCAGUGACCUCACUUUGGAAACUUGAUGUGAGCCACACUGUAUUUACUCCCCAGAAACUGAUGGCAGAGUAGACGGACGUCAGCUCCUCUCCUGUGAGAACCCCACAAACUACAACUCACUGCACAACAACCAUCGACAGGAGAAUGUCGGAUCCCACCAAAAACAGAUACUUUGCCAACAAAGGUCCAUCUCGUCAAGGCUAUGGUUUUCCCAGUGGUCGU